RNAcentral lists this transfer RNA (76 nucleotides) under Thiohalocapsa halophila. RNAcentral's name for it is "tRNA-His". It matches the Rfam family "tRNA". From Rfam's summary of the family: Transfer RNA (tRNA) molecules are approximately 80 nucleotides in length. Their secondary structure includes four short double-helical elements and three loops (D, anti-codon, and T loops). Further hydrogen bonds mediate the characteristic L-shaped molecular structure. tRNAs have two regions of fundamental functional importance: the anti-codon, which is responsible for specific mRNA codon recognition, and the 3' end, to which the tRNAs corresponding amino acid is attached (by aminoacyl-tRNA synthetases). tRNAs cope with the degeneracy of the genetic code in two manners: having more than one tRNA (with a specific anti-codon) for a particular amino acid; and 'wobble' base-pairing, i.e. permitting non-standard base-pairing at the 3rd anti-codon position. RNAcentral also lists the same sequence under 2 other names. Lineage: Bacteria; Pseudomonadati; Pseudomonadota; Gammaproteobacteria; Chromatiales; Chromatiaceae. The record is from RNAcentral.
GCGGACGUAGCUCAGUUGGUAGAGCACCUGGUUGUGGCCUAGGUGGUCGUGGGUUCGAGCCCCAUCGUUCGCCCCA